RNAcentral lists this ribosomal RNA (453 nucleotides) under uncultured bacterium. RNAcentral describes it as "partial 16S ribosomal RNA". It matches the Rfam family "Bacterial small subunit ribosomal RNA", at positions 28 to 523 of the family's 1533-position model. The record is from RNAcentral.
GAUUAACGCUGGCGGCAUGCCUAAUGCAUGCAAGUCGAACGAACCCUUCGGGGUUAGUGGCACACGGGUGCGUAACGCGUGGGAAUCUGCCCUUGGCUUCGGAAUACAAGUAAGAAUUGCUUGCAAAUACCGGAUAAUGCUUCCGGACAAAAAAUUUAUGGGCAAGGGAUGAGUCUGCGUAAGAUUAGCUAGUUGGUGAGGUAACGGCUCACCAAGGCGACGAUCUUUAACUGGUCUGAGAGGAUGAUCAGUCACACUGGAACUGUAGACACGGUCCAGACUCCUACGGGAGGCAGCAGUAGGGAAUAUUGGACAAUGGGGGCAACCCUGAUCCAGCGACGCCGCGUGAGUGACGAAGGCCUUCGGGUCGUAAAGCUCUGUUGCAAGGGAAAAACAAAAUGAUGGUACCUUGCUAGAAAGGGUCGGCUAACUUCGUGCCAGCAGCCGCCGUAA